This 253-nucleotide ribosomal RNA is filed under the name uncultured bacterium. Its description in RNAcentral is "partial 16S ribosomal RNA". It matches the Rfam family "Bacterial small subunit ribosomal RNA", at positions 524 to 776 of the family's 1533-position model. The record is from RNAcentral.
UACGUAGGUGGCAAGCGUUGUCCGGAUUUACUGGGCGUAAAGCGCGCGCAGGCGGAUGGUUAAGUAGGAAGUGAAAGGUUGGAGCUCAACUCCAACAUUGCUCCCUAUACUGGCCGUCUUGAGUCCCGGAGAGGAAAGCGGAACGACACGUGGAGCGGUGAAAUGCGUAGAUAUCCGGAGGAACACCGGUGGCGAAGGCGGCUUCCUGGACCGACACUGACGCUGAGGCGCGAAAGCUAGGGGAGCAAACGGG